CUCCGGCGCAAAGAGAGGCCCAAGUGAGAUUAGCUAGUUGGUAAGGUAACGGCUUACCAAGGCGACGAUCUCUAGCUGUUCUGAGAGGAAGAUCAGCCACACUGGGACUGAGACACGGCCCAGACUCCUACGGGAGGCAGCAGUGGGGAAUAUUGCACAAUGGGGGAAACCCUGAUGCAGCCAUGCCGCGUGUGUGAAGAAGGCCUUCGGGUUGUAAAGCACUUUCAGUUGUGAGGAAAAGUUAGUAGUUAAUACCUGCUAGCCGUGACGUUAACAACAGAAGAAGCACCGGCUAACUCCGUGCCAGCAGCCGCGGUAAUACGGAGGGUGCGAGCGUUAAUCGGAAUUACUGGGCGUAAAGCGCACGCAGGCGGUUUGUUAAGCUAGAUGUGAAGCCCCGGGCUCAACCUGGGAUGGUCAUUUAGAACUGGCAGACUAGAGUCUUGGAGAGGGGAGUGGAAUUCCAGGUGUAGCGGUGAAAUGCGUAGAUAUCUGGAGGAACAUCAGUGGCGAAAGGCGACUCCCUGGCCCAAAGACUGACGCUCAUGUGCGAAAGUGUGGGUAGCGAACAGGAUUAGAUACCC
RNAcentral lists this ribosomal RNA (584 nucleotides) under Alteromonas macleodii. Its description in RNAcentral is "bacterial SSU rRNA". It matches the Rfam family "Bacterial small subunit ribosomal RNA", at positions 212 to 787 of the family's 1533-position model. The record is from RNAcentral. Lineage: Bacteria; Pseudomonadati; Pseudomonadota; Gammaproteobacteria; Alteromonadales; Alteromonadaceae.